Micropterus dolomieu (smallmouth bass) is the source of this 622-nucleotide long non-coding RNA. RefSeq lists it as uncharacterized. The record is from RefSeq and is a predicted model, not a curated record. NCBI's taxonomy places the organism in Eukaryota, Metazoa, Chordata, Actinopteri, Centrarchiformes, Centrarchidae. The transcript is spliced from 3 exons.
GGGUUGAUUACUGGAUGAGCCGCUGCAGGUGGUCAGAAACCAGGAUCGGACACGCCCACACACAUAGUACAUGACAAACAAGACUGAUGGGGACAGCAGGGAAGGGAACUGUUGCUUGCAGCAGUCUGCUGAAAGGUGUAUAUUGCAAAGAUAUUUGCAUGGUCGUCGGCGUCACCAGGUCAUUUUUCCGGGGCUUUGGACGGGGAUGUAGCCCUGAAUACUGUGUGGAUACAGAGGACAACACUGACUCUGGUGAAUGUGCACAACUGUGACAAGCCGUCCCUUCUAAACCAUCUUGUGCUGAGGGAGGUAACAAUUUGCAGAUGCUAAGGUGCCACCUGCUCAUCAGAACGGAGAUAAACAUUCAUUCAUUCACAUUCACACAGUGAUGGCACAGCCACCAGGAGGAGUUUGGGGUGUCUUGUCCACGGACAACAUACAGACUGGGGGAAACUUCCGGUUAGUGGACGGCCCCUCUGCCCCCUGAGCCACAGCUGCCAGUAAAGAAAGGAAGACAAAAAAGGUGGUGGGACUGUUUAGAAACUUCAGGAAUGGAGUCUGACUUCAUACCUUUUUAUUUUUUUCUGUAUUUGUUAUUUUUGCUGAUUAAACAUUAGUGCUA